UACGUAGGGGGCAAGCGUUGUCCGGAUUUAUUGGGCGUAAAGAGCGUGUAGGCGGCCAUACAGGUCAGCUGUGAAAACUCGAGGCUCAACCUCGAGACGUCGGUUGAAACCGUAUGGCUAGAGUCCGGAAGAGGAGAGUGGAAUUCCCGGUGUAGCGGUGAAAUGCGCAGAUAUCGGGAAGAACACCCGCGGCGAAGGCGGCUCUCUGGGACGGUACUGACGCUGAGACGCGAAAGCGUGGGGAGCGAACAGG
Molecule: ribosomal RNA, 253 nt
Filed under: uncultured bacterium
Lineage: Bacteria
Description: partial 16S ribosomal RNA
Rfam family: Bacterial small subunit ribosomal RNA
Source: RNAcentral